AUUUAUAUAGUUUAUUGAAAACGGUAUAUUUUCAUUAUGCAGAUAAUAUUUAUUAUUUAUAAAUA
Molecule: transfer RNA, 65 nt
Filed under: Xenogryllus marmoratus
Lineage: Eukaryota; Metazoa; Arthropoda; Insecta; Orthoptera; Gryllidae
Description: tRNA-Glu
Source: RNAcentral